Molecule: ribosomal RNA, 253 nt
Filed under: uncultured bacterium
Lineage: Bacteria
Description: partial 16S ribosomal RNA
Rfam family: Bacterial small subunit ribosomal RNA
Source: RNAcentral
UACGAAGGGGGCUAGCGUUGCUCGGAAUCACUGGGCGUAAAGGGUGCGUAGGCGGGUCUUUAAGUCAGGGGUGAAAUCCUGGAGCUCAACUCCAGAACUGCCUUUGACACUGAAGAUCUUGAGUUCGGGAGAGGUGAGUGGAACUGCGAGUGUAGAGGUGAAAUUCGUAGAUAUUCGCAAGAACACCAGUGGCGAAGGCGGCUCACUGGCCCGAUACUGACGCUGAUGCACGAAAGCGUGGGGAGCAAACAGG